Molecule: ribosomal RNA, 1264 nt
Filed under: Engraulis australis (Australian anchovy)
Lineage: Eukaryota; Metazoa; Chordata; Actinopteri; Clupeiformes; Engraulidae
Description: partial 16S ribosomal RNA
Rfam family: Bacterial large subunit ribosomal RNA
Source: RNAcentral
UCUCGUACCUUUUGCAUCAUGAUUCAGCAAGUUAACUCAAGCAAAGAGCACUCUAGUUUGCACCCCCGAAACUUGACGAGCUACUCCGAGACAGCCAACUAUGGGCCAACCCGUCUCUGUGGCAAAAGAGUGGGAAGAUCUCCGAGUAGAGGCAAAAAACCUACCGAGCCAAGUUAUAGCUGGUUGCCCAAUAAAUGAAUACAAGUUCAGCCCUGCCUAGCCCGACUCACACCAGUUUUACGAAAAAAGACAAAGAGCUCACUCGCAGGAGUUAAUCAGAGGAGGUACAGCUCCCCUGACACAGGAUACAACCUUUUUAGGAGAUAAAAGAAUAUUGCCAAACAAGGCCUUGGGUCUCAGUGGGCCUGAAAGCAGCCAUCUGAUCUGAAAGCGUUAAAGCUCCGGCCAAAAGAAAGCCUUUUAUUUAAUCUUAAUAUCUGCUCCCCUAAAUCUUAUUGGGCCUCUCCAUGCACCCAUGGAAGAGACUAUGCUGGAACGAGUAACAAGAAGAAUGAACUUCUCCACGCACAAGUGUAUGUCAAAUUGGACCAACCAUCGACAAUCAACGAACCCAACAAAAGAGGGCCCUACACACCCGCCACCUCUGACCAAGAAAACUAUGUUCCCUAGAAUCGUUACCCCGACACAGGAGUGCCAGAACAAGGAAAGACUUAAAGAAAAAAAAGGAACUCGGCAAACCCAGACCUCGCCUGUUUACCAAAAACAUCGCCUCUUGCAUUCCAAAGUAUAAGAGGUCCCACCUGCCCUGUGACUCUAAGUUUAACGGCCGCGGUAUUCUAACCGUGCGAAGGUAGCGCAAUCAAUUGCCUUUUAAAUGAAGGCCUGUAUGAAUGGUAUAACGAGGGUCUAGCUGUCUCUUUUUUCUAGUCAGUUAAACUGAUCUGUCCGUGCAGAAGCGGACAUUAAUAUACAAGACGAGAAGACCCUAUGGAGCUUUAGACACUAGCCAACUGUGAAUAAGCGACUGAACUGAACAAGUCCUAAAUACCCGCAGCCUUAUGGUAAUGUAGUCUUAGGUUGGGGCGACCACGGGAGAAAGUAAAGCUCCCAAGCAGACCGGGAAAACCCUUAAGCCGAGAGUUGCAACUCUAAGCCGCAAAAUUUUUGACUGAAAUGAUCCGGUUGAAAAACCGAUUAACGAACCAAGUUACCCUAGGGAUAACAGCGCAAUCCUCUCCCAGAGUCCCUAUCGACGAGGGGGUUUACGACCUCGAUGUUGGAUCAGGACAUCCUAAUGGUGCAG